GAGUUUGAUCAUGGCUCAGGACGAACGCUGGCGGCAUGUCUAACACAUGCAUGUCGAACGGAGUAAGAGAGAAGCUUGCUUAGCUCUUACUUAGUGGCGGACGGGUGAGUAACGCGUGAGUAACCUGCCUUUCAGAGGGGGAUAACGUUCUGAAAAGAACGCUAAUACCGCAUGAUAUAUUGGGGUCGCAUGGCCUUGGUAUCAAAGGAGCAAUCCGCUGAAAGAUGGACUCGCGUCCGAUUAGCCAGUUGCCGGGGUAAAGGCCCACCAAAGCGACGAUCGGUAGCCGGGUUGAGAGACUGAACGGCCACAUUGGGACUGAGACACGGCCCAGACUCCUACGGGAGGCAGCAGUGGGGGAUAUUGCACAAUGGAGGAAACUCUGAUGCAGCAAUGCCGCGUGAGGGAAGACGGUCUUCGGAUUGUAAACCUCUGUCCUUGGUGAAGAUAAUGACGGAGCCAAGGAGGAA
This 470-nucleotide ribosomal RNA is filed under the name uncultured bacterium. RNAcentral's name for it is "bacterial SSU rRNA". It matches the Rfam family "Bacterial small subunit ribosomal RNA", at positions 9 to 489 of the family's 1533-position model. The record is from RNAcentral.